UGCCAAGUAGAAUAAAGAGACUGCGGAGGAUGCUUAGCCGCCUUAUCAAGGGAGGUUUAUAACCAAAACCCAUAGUUAGGUUCAUUAGAGCCUUAUUAUUAUCUAUGUUGCGAUCCCAGGAGAAAUUAUUUAGUCAAGUACACAGGGAACGAAACCAACCUAGUACUCGUAGAAAAAAAGAUUUACCAAGAGUUAGGUAGUAGCUAGAGCAAACCCUAAUUAGCUAGGCUUUCACAAAUAAUGAGCAUUACAAUAGUCUUUUGAUGAAUGACUUAGUAAAAAGUACUUUUCUUAAUUUGCAGGUUAGCUAAGCUAAUCCAAAGAGGAUAAAAGGCCUGUAAUCAAAAGUGUGUUUGUUCUUUGGGUCAAGUACUACGAUUUUUCGUAGGAAGAUAGGGGUGCCAUCCUCUAAGGCUAAAUAUGAUAAGGUGAGUGAUAGUGAAGAGUAGUGUGAGCGAAAGGUUCAAAAGUAGGUAGUUAACCGUUGAAAUAGAACUUGAAUCCGUAGUCUUCUAAGCAGUCAAAGCUCUACGGCCCUCAAAAGUUGCAAGUGAUGACAUACCUUUUGCAUAAUGGGUCGCUUAGUAAUAGUCAAUAGCAAGGUGAAAGCCCUAGCGAAUGCGACAAUGGUUGAUAAGACCAAUUGGUUAAGUUGACUCGAAACCUAACAAUCUAGCCAUGAUCAGGACAAGUUGACUCGAAACCUAACUAUCUAGCCAUGAUCAGGUCAAGUUGAAAUGGACCGAACAGAUGUCCUAAGUAAAGGGCUCCAAUGAAUUGUUGCUAGCAAGUGAAAGAGAAACCUAGCUAGGAGAUAGUUGGUCCUACACGAAAUAUAUUACAAUAUAGUGUUAUGAUGACAUCCUAUGUAGGGACAACUCUGAUUGUAAGGAUUCUUCCGAGGUGUUGGCUUUACCCAUGACAAUGAACCUAGAAAUGACAUAUUAAUGAUCCAUAGCAUACAACCUAUUUGUGAUAAGGCGGGUAGGCAAGAGGGAAAUGACCCUCAAUGUUUGUUUACGGUUCCUAAUUUCCCGUUAAGUGAUAGAAAGGAAGUGAAUUUCCCAAGAGAACUACGAUAUGCAUCUGGUAGUUGCGAUUGAAUAAUGAGAGUGUAACAACUCAAUAGUCUAAGUGGUCUUUUGAUCACGGGGGAAUAAGCGCCGAAAAUUCAUAGGGUAUAGACAGUAAACCGAAACAACAUCCUGUAGUCUAUGCGAUGACAGAGGGUAGAGGAGAAAUUAGUACCAAAGAUUCAAGGUGUUUCUCCUUUUUUAGGUAACUAAUGAGAGAAUGGCGACAUGAGUAGCGAUAAGGAUGGCCAUCCUCCUUGAAUACGUAAGGGUGAGAUAGAUCAGUUCAACUUCUAUCUGUUAUUACGGCCCCUAAGGUACUUAUUAUAAUGGAUGAGGCUGAUGGGAGUGGUUUAUGUUUGCAGAUCUAGUGGUCUGAAAGGAAAUAGCAUAACUAUGAUUACCGUACCCUAAACCGACACAGGUACGUGGGUAGAGCAUACUAAGGGGUAGGAUUAAUAACGUUUAAGGAACUUGGAAAAAUGCUCUCGUACGUUUGACAAUAAGGGAGAGUUGAUUACAGCUGUCACAGAAUUUUGGAUUGCGCAAAAACACAGGUAUCUGCUAUAAUUCAAGUUAUUGUAUAGGUACUUAACCUUGCCCAGUAUAGGUAGUAUAAGAGAGGGUAUACUAUUAUAGUAAUCGAUUACUCUUUAAGCUCCUAUUAACAGCGACCUUAACUAGAAGGGUCCGAAGGUUGGAUUGCAACCUUUGUAUAAUAUCUCUUUAUGUUGAAACUGUUAGAAUAUAGAGGAUUGUGCCUGUUUAACCAUUGACGAUACCCUCGUCACC
This is a non-coding RNA of Picea glauca (white spruce), 1865 nucleotides long. The record is from Rfam. Lineage: Eukaryota; Viridiplantae; Streptophyta; Pinopsida; Pinales; Pinaceae.